GACGAACGCUGGCGGCGUGCCUAAUACAUGCAAGUCGAGCGCAGGAAACUGACGGAACUCUUCGGAGGGAAGGCAGUGGAAUGAGCGGCGGACGGGUGAGUAACACGUAAGGAACCUGCCUCAAGGAUUGGGAUAACUCCGAGAAAUCGGAGCUAAUACCGGAUAGUUCAUCGGACCGCAUGGUCCGUUGAUGAAAGGCGCUUCGGCGUCACCUUGAGAUGGCCUUGCGUUGCAUUAGCUAGUUGGUGGGGUAACGGCCCACCAAGGCGACGAUGGAUAACCUACCUGAGAGGGUGUUCGGCCACACUGGGACUGAGACACGGCCCAGACUCCUACGGGAGGCAGCAGUAGGGAAUCUUCCACAAUGGACGAAAGUCUGAUGGAGCAACGCCGCGUGAGUGAUGAAGGUUUUCGGAUCGUAAAACUCUGUUGUAAGGGAAGAACACGUACGAGAGGAAAUGCUCGUACCUUGACGGUACCUUACGAGAAAGCCACGGCUAACUACGUGCCAGCCGCCGCCGUAA
This 524-nucleotide ribosomal RNA is filed under the name uncultured bacterium. Its description in RNAcentral is "partial 16S ribosomal RNA". It matches the Rfam family "Bacterial small subunit ribosomal RNA", at positions 28 to 523 of the family's 1533-position model. The record is from RNAcentral.